Molecule: ribosomal RNA, 440 nt
Filed under: uncultured Alphaproteobacteria bacterium
Lineage: Bacteria; Pseudomonadati; Pseudomonadota; Alphaproteobacteria
Description: bacterial SSU rRNA
Rfam family: Bacterial small subunit ribosomal RNA
Source: RNAcentral
CAGGCCUAACACAUGCAAGUCGAGCGGGUGUAGCAAUACACCANCGGCAGACGGGAGAGUAACACGUGGGAACGUGCCCUUCAGUUCGGAACAACCCAGGGAAACUUGGGCUAAUACCGGAUACGUCCGUAAGGAGAAAGAUUUAUCGCUGAAGGAUCGGCCCGCGUCUGAUUAGCUUGUUGGUGAGGUAACGGCUCACCAAGGCGACGAUCAGUAGCUGGUCUGAGAGGAUGAUCAGCCUCACUGGGACUGAGACACGGCCCAGACUCCUACGGGAGGCAGCAGUAGGGAAUAUUGGACAAUGGGCGCAAGCCUGAUCCAGCCAUGCCGCGUGGGUGAUGAAGGCCCUAGGGUUGUAAAGCCCUUUCGGCGGGGAAGAUAAUGACGGUACCCGCAGAAGAAGCCCCNGCUAACUUCGUGCCAGCAGCCGCGGUAAUACA